UAGGGAAUCUUCCGCAAUGGACGCAAGUCUGACGGAGCAACGCCGCGUGAGUGAAGAAGGAUUUCGGUUCGUAAAACUCUGUUGUUAGAGAAGAACAGCGCAUAGAGUAACUGUUAUGCGUGUGACGGUAUCUAACCAGAAAGCCACGGCUAACUACGUGCCAGCAGCCGCGGUAAUACGUAGGUGGCAAGCGUUGUCCGGAUUUAUUGGGCGUAAAGCGAGCGCAGGCGGUCAAUUAAGUCUGAUGUGAAAGCCCCCGGCUCAACCGGGGAGGGUCAUUGGAAACUGGUUGACUUGAGUGCAGAAGAGGAGAGUGGAAUUCCAUGUGUAGCGGUGAAAUGCGUAGAUAUAUGGAGGAACACCAGUGGCCAAGGCGACUCUCUGGUCUGUAACUGACGCUGAGGCUCGAAAGCGUGGGUAGCAAACAGG
Molecule: ribosomal RNA, 429 nt
Filed under: Bacteroidota bacterium
Lineage: Bacteria; Pseudomonadati; Bacteroidota
Description: Bacteroidetes bacterium partial 16S ribosomal RNA
Rfam family: Bacterial small subunit ribosomal RNA
Source: RNAcentral